ACUACAGUCCAUUCUUAUUGUGUAGAAGAUGAAGACAGUGUGCUGACAAUUUCCACCGUGUGUUCACUGAGAGAGGCAACUUCUCCAAAGUGAAAUGAUGAAGAUGGCUAUGUCUAACGUGCAUACAGAUCCUGUCCCAAAUAAACAAGACACAACAGGCAAUCUGGCUUGCUGGAUUAAUAGAGAUGAGACCUGAAUAAAUUGUAAAGGAGUGGAGUAACAGUAAACA
Mus musculus (house mouse) is the source of this 229-nucleotide long non-coding RNA. RefSeq annotates it as predicted gene, 29959. Lineage: Eukaryota; Metazoa; Chordata; Mammalia; Rodentia; Muridae. The transcript has 3 exons. The record is from RefSeq and is a predicted model, not a curated record.